RNAcentral lists this microRNA precursor (124 nucleotides) under Ovis aries (sheep). Its description in RNAcentral is "miRNA (ENSOARG00000024724.1)". Lineage: Eukaryota; Metazoa; Chordata; Mammalia; Artiodactyla; Bovidae. The record is from RNAcentral.
GACACAACUGAGUGACUACUCCUUUCAUAUAUAUAUAUGUGUGUGUGUGUGUGUGUGUGUGUGUGUGUGUGUUUUACUCAUUACUCACAUACACAUACACACAAAUACACACACACAUAUAUAC